AUGAACGCUGGCGGCGUGCCUAAUACAUGCAAGUCGAGCGAACGGACGAGAAGCUUGCUUCUCUGAUGUUAGCGGCGGACGGGUGAGUAACACGUGGAUAACCUACCUAUAAGACUGGGAUAACUUCGGGAAACCGUAGCUAAUACCGGAUAAUAUUUUGAACCGCAUGGUUCAAAAGUGAAAGACGGUCUUGCUGUCACUUAUAGAUGGAUCCGCGCUGCAUUAGCUAGUUGGUAUGGUAACGGCUUACCAAGGCAACGAUGCAUAGCCGACCUGAGAGGGUGAUCGGCCACACUGGAACUGAGACACGGUCCAGACUCCUACGGGAGGCAGCAGUAGGGAAUCUUCCGCAAUGGGCGAAAGCCUGACGGAGCAACGCCGCGUGAGUGAUGAAGGUCUUCGGAUCGUAAAACUCUGUUAUUAGGGAAGAACAGAUGUGUAAGUAACUGUGCACAUCUUGACGGUACCUAAUCAGAAAGCAACGGCUAACUACGUG
This 496-nucleotide ribosomal RNA is filed under the name uncultured bacterium. RNAcentral's name for it is "partial 16S ribosomal RNA". It matches the Rfam family "Bacterial small subunit ribosomal RNA", at positions 29 to 507 of the family's 1533-position model. The record is from RNAcentral.